RNAcentral lists this ribosomal RNA (156 nucleotides) under Lentinula boryana. RNAcentral's name for it is "5.8S rRNA". It matches the Rfam family "5.8S ribosomal RNA". From Rfam's summary of the family: 5.8S ribosomal RNA (5.8S rRNA) is a component of the large subunit of the eukaryotic ribosome. It is transcribed by RNA polymerase I as part of the 45S precursor that also contains 18S and 28S rRNA. Functionally, it is thought that 5.8S rRNA may be involved in ribosome translocation. The record is from RNAcentral. Lineage: Eukaryota; Fungi; Basidiomycota; Agaricomycetes; Agaricales; Omphalotaceae.
CAACUUUCAGCAACGGAUCUCUUGGNUCUCCCANCGAUGAAGAACGCAGCGAAAUGCGAUANGUAAUGUGAUUGCAGAAUUCAGUGAAUCAUCGAAUCUUUGAACGCACCUUGCGCCCUCUGGUAUUCCGGAGGGCAUGCCUGUUUGAGUGUCAUU